Molecule: long non-coding RNA, 1514 nt
Filed under: Felis catus (domestic cat)
Lineage: Eukaryota; Metazoa; Chordata; Mammalia; Carnivora; Felidae
Description: lncRNA (ENSFCAG00000048625.1)
Source: RNAcentral
AAGGAGACGCUGACAGGGAGCGCUGCCGCCUCUGAUUGGCCGCCACGGCAGCUCGUUCUACCUGGCGGGACGCACGCGAAGGCCGCCAGCGCACUGACCCGUGAUUGGCCGGGUCGCGCGGUGCGUGGCCGCCGUAGGGGAGGGAGGAGGUCGCUGCGCCUCAGCGACGGCCAAGCUGGCGGCGCGGCUCCCCCGCUCCCGCUCGAACCCGCGGCUCGUCCGUGCCCGCGGCCACUCGCGGCUGGGUCGGUCCCGCACGUCGCUGUCGCUGACCCCGCCGCCCGUGCCGUCCCUGCCGCACCCGCCGCUGCCGGGCCUGCCGCCCGGCCUGAGCCCCACGCCGCCGCCGCCGCCGCCCUCGGCGCUCGCCCUGGCGGAGCUGCCGCCUCUGCCCGCGCUUCCGCUGCGGCCCGAGCCGCUGGCACCCUGGGGCCCCGGCGCCCACCUGGCGCUGCCGGAGCUGCCUCCCGAGGCCUGCGUGCCCGCGCCGCCCGCCGCCGCGCUCGCGCUGCAGGACCUGCCGCGCCUACCGGCGCCCGCGCCGCCGCCCGCGCACCUGCCGCUGCCGCCGCUGCCCGAGGCCGCCGUCGCCGCCACGCCCGGGCCUGUAGGCGCGCGCGGCCGCCCGCCCCUGGUCGCCGAGCCGCCCCCGCAACCGCUGCCGCCGCUGCCCGCGCGGCCUUCGCCCUCCAACCUGCUGGCGCCGCCCGCGCCCCGCGCCCCCUGGCUGCUGCCCGCCUUCCCUCCGCCGCUGCCGCCGCCGCCGCGGACGCCGCCGCCGUACCUCUUCCUGUCGCCUCCCUGCUGAUGGCCUGGCCCUUGCGAGGCCGUGGACCCCGAGGGGCUGCGGGCGGCGAGCCUCUUGCCUGGUUAUUUGAGAAUGUAACUCAUACCUUGUGCAGAGAAGUUGGCUGCUUAUCCGGCGCGGUGGGGACAGGGGCACACGGUGCUUGGCUUGAAAUGAAAACAAGACUUCAAAAUGUUCUGACUGGGUAUGCAAGGUGUUUCAUUUUCCCUUAUAAAGUGAGGGGUUUGGAUGUCAUCACUAAGGUCCUGUUCUUUUGCGUGUGUAUGGCUUCUGGGAAACUUGCUGCCUUGCAAGCCUUGAGUCCAACUUUCUUUUCUUGUUUUUAAUGUUUAUUUAUUUUUGAGAGACAGAGCAUGAGCAGGGGAGGAGCAGAGAGAGGGGGAAACAAAGAAGCCGAAGCAGGCUCCAGGCUCUGAGCUGUCCGCACAGAGCCCGACGCGGGGCUCAAACUCACCAAACAUGGGAUCGUGACCUGAGCUGAAGUCUGACGCUUAACCCACUGAGCCACCCAGGUGCCCUUUGAGUCAGACUUUGGACUGAAAGAGAUCCAAGGAUUGUGCAGGUCUGGAUGCACCAGAAUAGCAGCGGUGCUGAUGGACAACCGAUACUGGGCCCUGGAGCAGCAGCCUCACAUGCAAGGCCUAGGUCAUCCCCAGGGACGGGAAGGCUCCCAAGGUGAGUCAUGAAAGGAAGCCCCUAUUCUGUC